GGGCCAAAACACACCCUGUAGCAAGAAUCAAACCAGAUGCUUAAUCAGAAGGCCUGUUGCUGGAACUAUUGCCUUCAACAUCCCCAGAAGCAUUCUAGACAUUGCUGACACCACGGUACAUACACUCGAUGAGUCCUACCCCAGCAAUUGAACACAGUGUACUCACUAAAAUCGGUGGCAAAGCGGGAUCACCAACAUUCUCCCUAGCAGUGUUCUGAACCAAAUCAAAGCCCAACCCAGAAUGUACUGUACCAAAACGAACUUCCACCAUGGUACUAAACUUGUCCAAAUGUCUCCUAACAAGUUCUACACUCCCCUUUAAAAUGUACAACUAGGAUCUUUUUGUCCCUCCAGUACAACCCAGACUCCCUUUUGAACCUUCAAGAGUCCACCUCCUUCAGAGAAUUUAUACCCUUUUGCAUCCAAGGUACUUAGCAAAAUGAGAUUCAUUUUCAAGUCAUGAACAUAUCAAACCAGGUCAAUUGUUCUAAAUGUUCCAUCCUGUAGCCUCAAUCUAACUUGACCAAUCCCAGCAAUAGGCAAGAUUGGUUGUUUUCCAUUACAAUUCCAGCUUACUGAACAACCUCAUAUGUCUGAAAUAAAUUUCUAUCGGAACACAUAUGGUGCGAACUUACCGAAUAAAGAAUCCACUUCUCAUCAUGCCUAGAUUCCACAUCAGAUACCACAGUCAACAUUACCUCUUCGCCAUUUGAACAAUUCUCAACUACAUUGGUUUCAUCUGAAUUCAAAGGCGAAACCUCAAGAUUUGUAGCUAAAUCACCUUUAGCUUACAGUAUAUCGCAAUCUUUUCGAAUAUUCCAUUCUUUUAUAGUAGUAAUCGAUCAUAUUGCUA
Molecule: long non-coding RNA, 853 nt
Filed under: Olea europaea (common olive)
Lineage: Eukaryota; Viridiplantae; Streptophyta; Magnoliopsida; Lamiales; Oleaceae
Description: long non-coding RNA (OEUR_LNC000163)
Source: RNAcentral